RNAcentral lists this transfer RNA (82 nucleotides) under Canis lupus dingo (dingo). It matches the Rfam family "tRNA". From Rfam's summary of the family: Transfer RNA (tRNA) molecules are approximately 80 nucleotides in length. The record is from Rfam by way of RNAcentral. Lineage: Eukaryota; Metazoa; Chordata; Mammalia; Carnivora; Canidae.
GCCUGGAUGGCUCAGCGGUUGAGCGUCUGCCUUUGGCUCAGGGCAUGAUCCCAGAUCCUGGGAUUGAGUCCCACUUCGGGCU